This 7142-nucleotide long non-coding RNA is filed under the name Sus scrofa (pig). RNAcentral's name for it is "lncRNA (ENSSSCG00025025935.1)". Lineage: Eukaryota; Metazoa; Chordata; Mammalia; Artiodactyla; Suidae. The record is from RNAcentral.
UUUUUUUUUAUUUUUAAUUUUUUUUGUCUUUUUCUAGAGAACAGUUUAUUUUUUUAAUUUUUAUUUUAUUUUUGUGUUUUUCUAGGUAAGUGGAUUUAGUGAUUACCCAGGGUUUCAAUACCAGUGAUGUAACGUUACUGUAAGGCAGAACAUUAUUGUGAAAACUUUCUGUUGAGAGAUGCCUGGAGGAUGCCUCUGUUGAGGAGGUAAACUCAAACCCUAGCUUCCCAACCCCAUGGUCCUCUUCCUCAGGUCUUGCACUAGACCAGGUGGUGGUGGGCAUGCAAAUCCCUUUUGGGAAAGACCAGAAGAAGAGGGUCAUGGGGUUUGGGAAGUGGUGCCUCUUCCCUUCCUAGGGUUUGAGUUUGCCUCUGGGCUUGGGGAGAAAGCCCUGCAGUACCUGAGCCGUGUCAACCUGGAACGGGGGAGAAGGCAGCGUAGACUUGCUCUUGUUGGGCAAAGACAUAAAUGAUGGCGUCCGAGCGACAUCACUAGAAAGGAAAUGCUUACAGCGUGUCAGGUACUAUUUGAAUCAUUUUAUGUUUAAGUCUUUCUCACAGCCUAUGACGCUGUCAUUUCUGUAGGUCAGAGCUGGUAAAAUAUUGUCACUUCGACAUAGUUUACAGAUUUUCCACCUUAAGAUGUGAACAAAAGAUUUUUUAAUAAUGACCCAACGUCCCAAAGCUAAUGGGUGGCUGUACAGAUCAAGUGUUCUUGCAGGAACAAAAGGCACCUUCAGAAGGGGAUGACUGAGACAUUAAUGAAAGACUGCUUACAGAUGGGGUUAAAUGAAAUCAACAAGGAUAGAGGAAGUUUCUGGAAAAGCCAUCUUAAAGCAGUCCAGUGGGCACUGGGAGGUGGCUGGAGCUGGAAGCAGGGGGGUGAAGUGUGUGUGUGUGUCUGUGUUUAGGACGGGUGACUUAGAAGUCACCUCUCAGUGUGCUGGUCUUAUAGAUGGUGCCAGUACAAAAGGACUGAGGUCAGGUGUUUAUUCUUUAUAAUAUACAAUGCCUGUCAAAAAUUUUUGCAGGAGCCAUUCCGAGCACAGCAUGGACCACUGCAAGGGAUUGACAGCUAGAUAUUAGUCACGAGUUCUUAAAUACCAUCCAUUUAUCAUCAGCCCUUAAUUAAUGGGGAUCCUUCUGCCCAGAACACGCAGUGAGACUUCUGCCUCCUCUUUAUCCCCUGCCCCCUGCCGGGUCACACUGAGGAGGAAGGAGAAUGACAUGCAAACAUGAUGUCCAAGUUUGAAGAAGCCACCUGUAGCCAGAGCAGCCAGUUCUUGGUAAGUGUCCGGAUACUGUCAGUCAAGCCCGACUUCCCUCUCAACUUUUCAUCUUUACACUGUCUCUUGCCAACCUCUGUUCCCUCUGUUCCAGCUGCCCCCUUCCUCCACUGGCUCCCAUCCGCUAACCCUGAUGGAUGGAAAAUACUUUCUCAGAAGUGACUAGAAGAAACCUGAGAAAUGACUCUUGCACAAGGAAGCCAGGCUGCCCACCCCAUUUGAGGAUGUGUUCAAUCCUAAGGAUAACUCACCUAUUUUAUUGUAUUUUAUUUUUUGGCUGUACCGAUGGCCUGUGGAAGUUCCUAGGUCAGGGUUGAAACUGCACCACAGCAGUGCCAAUGCCAGAUCUUUAGCCCACUGUAUCACCACGGAACUCUGCACCCAUUUUAAAAUCUAAGAACAUCCCAACCAAUGCCCAUGGCGCCCACAGCUGGCUUGACUUCCCCAGAUGCUCCUGAUAAUCUAAUUCUCUCCUAACAUAAGAGGUAAUGUCAUGCUUCAUGCUUCAAAUGGACCAUCCCUGUAUCUUUUUUUCAGGAAAAACUCCUUCACCUUAAAUUCAAGUGUUUAAAAGUUCAAAGCACUUAAUGUUUGCACAUAAAGUGAAUUUUAGAUUACAUUCUUUUUUGGAGAGAGUCACAUAACGGGCUGUUACAAAUUCAUUCCAAAAAGCAACUUUCAGAUUCUGUCCUGAGGUCAGUAACAUACAUUCCCUUUGCCUCCUGUACUUACAACUCUGUAAUUACAACUCAAGAAAUAAUAUAUGAGGAUUCUGAUACAUGGAAAGAUCCUGAAAAAGUGUUUUGAAUUAUUAAAGAAGAAAUCAUUCAUAGUAUUGGCAUGAAGUAUAUUACACAGUACUGUCAGCCUUUGAACAUUGCUAAGUCAUGUGUGACAUAUACGGUAUAAAGAAAUCAGACUACUCUGUUCUACCUAUUUCUGCUAGUUGAGAAGUUUUAUACAAAAAAUUCAUUUAAUAAUUCUGACACCUGUGGUCAAUUAAUCUUUGACAAAGGAGGCAAAGAAUAUAAAAUGAGAAAAAGACAGUCUUUUCAGCAAGUGGUGCUGGGAAAACUGGACAGCAACAUGUAAAUCAGUGAAACUAGAACACACCCUCACACCAUGCACAAAAAUAAAUAACACUGUAAAUCAGCUAUAAUAGAAAAGAUAAAAAUCAUUAUAAAAAUGGCCUAAAGACUUAAACAUAAGACAUCAUAAAACUAGAAGAGAACAUAGGCAAAAUAUUCUCUGACAUCAACUGUGUAAAUGUUUCCUUAGGUCAGUCUCCCAAGGCAAGAGAAGUAAAAGCAAAAAUAAUGGGACCUAAUCAAACGUAAAAGCUUUUGCACAGCAAAGGAAAUAAAACCCCAAAAAGACACCCUAUGGAAUGGGAGAACAUAGUUGCAAAUGAUACAACGAACAAGGGCUUAAUCCCCAAAAUAUACAAACAACUCAUACAACUCAACAGCAAAAACAAAAACAAAAAGCAAAAAAACCUGAACAACAACAACAAAAACAACCCAAAUGAAAAAUGGGCAGAAAACCUAGAUAUUUCUCCAAAGAAGAUAUACAGAUAGCCAACAAACACAUGAAAAAAAUGCUCAACAUCACUAAUUAUUAGAGAAAUGUAGAUCAAAACUACAAUGAGGUACCAUCUCACACUGGUCAGAACAGCUAUCAUUAAUAAGUCUACAAAUAACAAGUGCUAGAGAGGGUGUGGAGAAAAGGGAACCCUACUUCUCUGUUGGUGGGAAUGUAGACUGGUACAACCAUUAUGGAAAACAGUAUGGAGGUUCCUCAGAGAACUAAAUAUAGAACUACCAGAAGUUUCAGUAAUCCCACUCCUGGGCAUAUAUCUGGAUAAAAAAACUUUCAUUCUAAAAGAUACAUGCACCACUAUAUUCAUUCCAGCACUAUUCACAAUAGCCAAGACAUGGAAACAGCCUAAAUGUCCAUUGACAGAUGAAUGGAUUAAGAAGAUGUGGUAUAUAUACACAAAGGAAUACUACUCAGCCAUAAAAAAGAAAAUACCAUUUGCAGCAACAUGGAUAGAACUAGAGAUUCUCAUACUAAGUGAAGUAAGUCAGAAAGAGAAAGACAAAUACCAUAUGAUAUCACUUAUAUGUGGAAUCUAAAAUGUGGCACAAAUGAACCUAUCUACAAAACAGAAACAAACUCAUGGGCAGAGAACAGACUUGUGGUUGCCAAGCAGGAGGGGGAGGGAGUGGGAUGGACUGGGAGUUUGGGGUUAGUAGAUGCAAACUGUUGCAUUUGGAGUGAAUAAGCAAUGAGAUCCUGCUGUAUAGCUUAGAGAACUACAUCCAAUCCCUUGUGAUGGAAAAUAAUGGAAGAUAUGAGAAAAAGAAUGUAUACACAUACACACACACACAUACAUAUAUAUAACUUGGGUGUCACUUUGCUGUACAGCAGAAAUUGACAGGACACUGUCAAUCAACUAUAAUAAACAUUUUUUUUAAUUUAAAAAAGAUUUUUAAAAAGUCAAAAAAAAAUUGGAAGAACUACUGGAUAAGAAACUCAAUCCAGGAGUUCCUGUUGUGGCUCAGUGGGUUGAGGACCUAAUGUGGUCUCUGUGAGGAUGCAGGUUUGAUCCCUGGUCUCACUCAGUGGAUGAAGGACCCGGCAUUGCCACAAGCUGUGGCAUAGUCCACAGAUGUGGACUGGAUCUGGGGUUGCUGUGGCACCUGCAGCUCCAAUUUGACCCCUAGCCCGGGAACGUCCAUAUGCCGGGGUGCGGCCAGUCGUUGCACCUCUGGGUUUUUCUGUUACCACCUCUAGAGAGGAGAUGCGCUACGACCUCCAAGUUAUAAAAAUCCUCCUGUCAUCCCCACCCUUCUCUUUAGAGCCCAAACUUUGGACUUCAGCUGCAGCUCCUUCUGGGGGUGGGUGUUGCCAUCAGAAGCCCUUUGGUGACCCUCGGUCACUUGUACUGGCAUUGUCACUCUUGGGACAUUUCCCUUAGACUUCUGCUGGUCUCUGUUAAACCAUCAUUUAGUUAACACUCCCGCAGUUACAGAGCAGAGGACAGAACCGGCAGCAGAUGGUAUCUGGAAGCAUAAAGUGACAGACCUGGGAACAUUCCUGGGUGAGAAGCUUCUAUUUCCAGAGUCCUGCUCCUCACCCGGUUCCAGCUCCUUUAUCUGGUGAAGUUCCACAUCCUUUAAGGAUCAAGUCCAAUGUCACUUCUACCUCACUUGGGAGAGGUUCUUUCUCCUCUGGGCUCCUAAUUUUUACCCACCACUGUCACAUCUGUCAUCACCUCCUAUUGCAUAUUGAUUUUUUGCCUGCUUGCUCACCUCUUUAGGAAUAUCCUUACAAGUGGCCACGAUUGGUUCUUCUCUAGGGUAGCUUAUUUCCAGGCUCUGUGAGCCUGUGUGUAAGGCCUGCCUUGGGUGAUUAUAACAAACAAAUGCUGAAGCCCUUUUGGGUGCAUCAUUUCAAUCUUUUAAAGAUGAUUUCUGGUGCUUCCCUCCUUGGGAACUUUCUACUUUCCUGUCACUUUGGUGAUUCUUAUCAGUGUUCCCUGGUAGACAAUUAAUGGUAUGAUUUUUUUGACCAAUUAGCUCAGGAAGCUCAGACUUCAGCAUCUUAAAAAAAAAAAAAAAAUCCCCAAGUGGAGUUCCCGUCGAGGCUCAGUGGUUAACGAAUUUGACUAGGAACCAUGAGGUUGUGGGUUCGAUCCCUGGCCUCGCUCAGUGGGUUAAGGAUCCGGCGUUACUGUGAGCUGUGGUGUAGGUCGCAGAUGUGGCUUGGAUCCCACUUUGCUGUGGCUGUGGCGUAGGCUGGUGGCUACAACUCCGAUUAGACCCUUAGCCUGGGAACCUCCAUAUGCCAUGGGCGUGGCCCUAGAAAAGCCAAAAAAAAGAAAAAAAAAAAGAAAAAGAAAAAAGGAAAAAAAAAAUCCCCAAAUAAUAACCAGCUCAAGAAUACAAAUGUUCUAUGCAGUUCUGGAAUGCUAUCACUUAUUGACUCUAUUCAUUAAAAAAAAAAGGUGCAUGCAAAUCUAAAAUCCCCACACAGAAAAUGGAACUAAUCCACAAAUAAGUGCGUGCCUCAUACACACCUACAUACCAACAAGUAACACGAGAAUCAUAGGAACCUGCAUGUGUAGGUUCUGGAUUCAUCUGGAUUCAUGCUGAACAUUGCUAAGCAUUGUGCCAGCUGCUUCACAGGCCCAGUAUCUUUGACACUAUCCUUGAAAUUCAUGAUGGCAUGAGGGUCAUCACACAUAAGCAUUUUCUUUUUGUCCCUCUGAACAAAGUGAACAUUGACCCGGAUACAGGGAAGGAUCCUAGCUGGGGUCACUCACAUCGCUUGAAUCAUAACAAGAGAAAGACUUUUGCAGUCUCCGAACUUUUUUCAAGCAGAAGCAAGCAGCUGUUCCUGAGAUAAAGCAGUGUGAGUUCUCAUAUACAGAGUUAGUGAUGCAUGGCAUUGAGGGGAGAGGUGAGGGGGGAACUCAAUCAUUGCAUCAAACUGCCGUUUUCAAUUUUACAAAGAACUCUUGCAUGUGUUCUUAUUUGAUAAUAGCCUCACAGAAUCAAAGGCUUUUCACCAUAGCAACCUUAGUAGUUGGCCCUUUUUAACAUUGAAGAAACUGAGGCUCAAAUGCUUAAGUGACUCCCUUAGAGUGACAAAACUAGUUAAGUGGUAGGAGAUGGGAUUACUGAGUCCAGGGUCUACAGGUUUAGCUUUUGUUUUUUUAGGACAUGCUUGCUUAAAGAAAGACAGCACUAGUGAGAGACAGUUUUACACAGAGGAAAGCAAAAAUUGAGCCAACCACAGAAGCACCCUCUUUCAAUUAUACAGUGGUUAACACUUAAAAUUACUUUCCCAGUAUCCUAAAUGACUGCCCUUACAAAGCAAAUGCACUGCCUAAACCAUGGCUGCAUGCUUUUUCUUUACUUGGAAGGAUCUCUCAGAGAGCAUUACUAAAAAUAACUUCAUUAUCUGUAAUAGAAACUCAUCUAUCACCAUUCUAAUUAGAAUGUGACUAAAGAAAUCAGUAGUGAACAAAGGCGUUUUGGACAUUUGGUGCCUAUAAUGAUGGCUUUGAAGUUCCAGGGAAAAGUCAGUUUUCCAAAUGUCUCCUCAUUUAUAUCUCUCACUCGCCAUUCUUCUCAGUUCUCAAAGAAACUGUUUUUAAAUAUAUAUAAUAAUGGUAAUAGACAUUUGCAGAAACUGGAAAAAUAGAACAGCACAAAGAAGGAAAAAAAAACUUAUAUGCUCUCCUCUCAGAGAAAAUCACUACUAUUUUGAUGUGCCUGAGCAUUUUCUGCACAGAUAAGCAUUUCUGCCUACUUAGCACCAUAGUGUAUAAACUCUUUUGUUACCCACUUUCACACUUAUUAGAAUUAUUUCCUCCAUCAGGUAGAUAUUCUACAGUUUUUGGUGGUUGCACAGUAUUCUACUUACUAAAUUGCAUUAUUUAUAAAUUUUCCACUUCACUGAAUAGUUACUGAUUUUUAUGAGCAACCGUGCUAAAUAGCCUUGUAUAUUAAUUUCUGCAAACCUGUCAUAUUGAAGAAAAAUUCCCAGAAACAGAUUUGCUGGGUCAAAUCUUUAGGCAAAAUUUAAGAAUAUACAUCUUGGGAGUUCCCGUCGUGGCGCAGUGGUUAACGAAUCCGACUAGGAAACAUGAGGUUGUGGGUUCGGUCCCUGCCCUUGUUUAGUGGGUUAACGAUCCGGCAUUGCUGUGAGCUGUGGUGUAGGUUGCAGACGUGGCUCAGAUCCCGCGUUGCUGUGGCUCUGGCAUAGGCCAGUGGCUACAGCUCCGAUUCGACCCCUAGCCUGGGAACCUCCAUAUGCCGCGGGAGCGGCCCAAAGAAAUAGCAAAAAG